AUGUAUAUCCUGUCGGAGGGCGUUCAUGGCUCCUUCGAUAAGGAGCUCGCGAAGUUCUUCUGGCAGGCCGCGGACGGCCGCCAGAAGUAUCACAUGGUCAAGUGGGCAGACAUCUGCAGACCCAAGAACCAGGGUGGCUUGGGCAUUAUAGCCUCUUGUCGCAUGAAUGUGGCUCUUAUGCUACAAUGGGUAUGGCGGAUCAUGCGCGACAAAGGAGGGUUGUGGCUACGGCUGAUUCAAGGUUAA
This 246-nucleotide ribosomal RNA is filed under the name Triticum aestivum (bread wheat). RNAcentral's name for it is "partial small subunit ribosomal RNA". Lineage: Eukaryota; Viridiplantae; Streptophyta; Magnoliopsida; Poales; Poaceae. The record is from RNAcentral.